RNAcentral lists this ribosomal RNA (253 nucleotides) under uncultured bacterium. RNAcentral's name for it is "partial 16S ribosomal RNA". It matches the Rfam family "Bacterial small subunit ribosomal RNA", at positions 524 to 776 of the family's 1533-position model. The record is from RNAcentral.
UACGUAGGGGGCAAGCGUUGUCCGGAUUUAUUGGGCGUAAAGAGCGUGUAGGCGGCCAGAUAGGUCAGCUGUGAAAACUCGAGGCUCAACCUCGAGACGUCGGUUGAAACCAUCUGGCUAGAGUCCGGAAGAGGAGAGUGGAAUUCCCGGUGUAGCGGUGAAAUGCGCAGAUAUCAGGAGGAACACCGGUGGCGAAGGCGGGUCUCUGGGCCGAUACUGACGCUGAGGAGCGAAAGCGUGGGGAGCGAACAGG